Molecule: ribosomal RNA, 1782 nt
Filed under: human gut metagenome
Description: bacterial LSU rRNA
Rfam family: Bacterial large subunit ribosomal RNA
Source: RNAcentral
GAGUGGACAUGCGCCGACAAUACACGGGGCUAAGCUGGACACCGAAGCGGCGGGAUUUUAAUUCAUUAGAAUCGGUAGGGGAGCUUCCCAUGGGCGGAGAAGCCGGAGGGCGACCGACGGUGGAGCGCAUGGGAGUGAGAAUGCUGGCAUGAGUAGCGAGAGACGAGAGAGUAACUCGUCCGCCGUGAACCCGAGGUUUCCUGGGCAAGGCUAAUCCUCCCAGGGUCAGUCGGGGGCUAAGGCGAGGCCGGUAGGCGUAGCCGACGCGCAGCAGGCAGACAUUCCUGCACCGCGCACGCGGCGCUACGACCGACGGGGCGACGGAUGGGGGUGGCUCGGCGGGGUUCUGGACGUCCCCGUGAUGGAGCGCGGCCCGCGGACCAGGGAAAUCCGGUCCGCAGAAGGGCGAGGCUCCGGACGAAGCGACUGAGCGAAGCGAGUGAGCCCGAGGUCCCUAGAAAAACCCCUAGGCAGGCGCGUGCGCGCCCGUACCGCAAACCGACACAGGUGGGUGGGUAGAACAUACCGAGGCGAUCGGGUCAACCAUGGUCAAGGAACUCGGCACAAUGGCCCCGUAACUUCGGGAGAAGGGGUGCCCGCGCGUACGUGAACCGGCUUGCCCGGGGAGCGGAGGCGGGCCGCAGUGGAGAGGCCCAAGCGACUGUUUACCAAAAACACAGGACUCUGCAGAAGCCGCAAGGCGACGUAUAGGGUCUGACGCCUGCCCGGUGCCGGAAGGUCACGCGGAGGAGUUAGCCGAUUCGGCGAAGCCCCGAAGCCAAGCCCCGGUAAACGGCGGCCGUAACUAUAACGGUCCUAAGGUAGCGAAAUUCCUUGUCGGGUAAGUUCCGACCUGCACGAAAGGCGCAACGACUUGGGCGCUGUCUCGACCAUGGACCCGGUGAAAUUGCACUGGUCGUGAAGAUGCGACUUACCCGCGGAAGGACGGAAAGACCCCGUGAACCUUCACUGCAGCUUGGCAUUGGCCGCUGGUCCCGCGUGUAGAGGAUAGGCAGGAGGCACAGAUCCGGAGGCGCCAGCCCCCGGGGAGCCGCCCUUGGAAUACUGCCCUCGCGCGACCGGCGUCCUAACCCGAGGCCGUCAACCGGCUCGGGGACCGUGCCAGGCGGGCAGUUUGACUGGGGCGGUCGCCUCCUAAAGGGUAACGGAGGCGCGCGAAGGUCCGCUCGGGACGGUCGGCAACCGUCCUUUUGAAUGCAAGAGUACAAGCGGGCUUGACUGCGAGGCCCACAAGCCGAGCAGGUGCGAAAGCAGGCUCUAGUGAUCCGGCGGCCCCGAGUGGGUGGGCCGUCGCUCAACGGAUAAAAGGUACUCCGGGGAUAACAGGCUGAUCUUGCCCAAGAGUCCACAUCGACGGCAAGGUUUGGCACCUCGAUGUCGGCUCAUCGCAUCCUGGGGCUGGAGCAGGUCCCAAGGGUACGGCUGUUCGCCGUUUAAAGCGGUACGCGAGCUGGGUUCAGAACGUCGUGAGACAGUUCGGUCCCUAUCCUCCGUGGGCGCAGGAGAAUCGAUGGAGGCUGCCCCCAGUACGAGAGGACCGGGGUGGACGCACCUCCGGUGAACCGGUUGUCGACCAACGGCACGGCCGGGUAGCCGCGUGCGGCGCGGAUAACCGCUGAAGGCAUCUAAGCGGGAAGCCGUUCCAGGGAUUAGUUCUCCUUCCGGUAAGGGCCCAGGUAGACUACCUGGUCGAUAGACGGCAGGUGCAAGGGCGGCGACGUCCUCAGCCGAGCCGCACUAAUCGCCCGAGCUCUUCCGGAA